This 216-nucleotide ribosomal RNA is filed under the name uncultured bacterium. Its description in RNAcentral is "partial 16S ribosomal RNA". It matches the Rfam family "Bacterial small subunit ribosomal RNA", at positions 118 to 351 of the family's 1533-position model. The record is from RNAcentral.
UGGGAAUCUGCCCUUGGGUUCGGAAUAACAGUUGGAAACGACUGCUAAUACCGGAUGAUGACGUAAGUCCAAAGAUUUAUCGCCCAAGGAUGAGCCCGCGUCGGAUUAGCUAGUUGGUGGGGUAAAGGCCUACCAAGGCGACGAUCGUUAGCUGGUCUGAGAGGAUGACCAGCCACACUGGAACUGAGACACGGUCCAGACUCCUACGGGAGGCAG